GACGAACGCUGGCGGCGUGCUUAACACAUGCAAGUCGAACGGAGGAUUUAUUUCGGUAAAUCCUUAGUGGCGAACGGGUGAGUAACGCGUGGGCAAUCUGCCCUUCAGAUGGGGGCAACAUCCCGAAAGGGGUGCUAAUACCGAAUACGAUCACGCUGCCGCAUGGCGGUGUGAUGAAAGAUGGCCUCUAUUUAUAAGCUAUCGCUGAAGGAUGAGCCUGCGUCUGAUUAGCUAGUUGGUGGGGUAACGGCCUACCAAGGCGAUGAUCAGUAGCCGGUCUGAGGGGAUGAACGGCCACAUUGGGACUGAGACACGGCCCAAACUCCUACGGGAGGCAGCAGUGGGGAAUAUUCCGCAAUGGACGAAAGUCUGACGGAGCAACGCCGCGUGAGUGAUGAAGGUUUUCGGACUGUAAAGCUCUGUUGUUUAGGACGAAAGUGCCUGUUGCGAACAGUUACAGGUAUUGACAGUACUGAACGAGGAAGCCACGGCUAACUACGUGCCAGCCGCCGCCGUAA
This 518-nucleotide ribosomal RNA is filed under the name uncultured bacterium. RNAcentral describes it as "partial 16S ribosomal RNA". It matches the Rfam family "Bacterial small subunit ribosomal RNA", at positions 28 to 523 of the family's 1533-position model. The record is from RNAcentral.